GUCCACGCUGUAAACUAUGUUAACUAGCCGUUUGAGGAAUUGACCCCUUGAGUGGUGUAGCCAACGCGUUAAGUUAACCGCCUGGGGAGUACGGUCGCAAGAUUAAACUCAAAGGAAUUGACGGGGACCCGCACAAGCGGUGGAUUAUGUGGUUCAAUUCGAUGCAACGCGAAGAACCUUACCUGGUCUUGACAUCCCGGUACGUCCCUGGAAACAGGGAUCGCCUCUUCGGAGGAGCCGGAGACAGGUGCUGCAUGGCUGUCGU
This 265-nucleotide ribosomal RNA is filed under the name uncultured bacterium. RNAcentral describes it as "partial 16S ribosomal RNA". It matches the Rfam family "Bacterial small subunit ribosomal RNA", at positions 793 to 1055 of the family's 1533-position model. The record is from RNAcentral.